Mus musculus (house mouse) is the source of this 874-nucleotide long non-coding RNA. RefSeq annotates it as predicted gene 12326. The record is from RefSeq and is marked validated. The transcript is spliced from 3 exons. NCBI's taxonomy places the organism in Eukaryota, Metazoa, Chordata, Mammalia, Rodentia, Muridae.
ACUCCCCGUGUAGUUAGCUUCCAGGCAACGCAAACAUCUUCCUCCCCGCUCCCCCACCAAUCUCUCAGAUUGGGAAAGAACUUCAAGGGAAAAAGGACAGCUGAGUUUUUACUAACCAAGGGCAUGCCAAUGUCACUGCCAGAGUACAAAGGACCUGGAGGAGGGAGCUACUGGUCUCUCAGAGGUCACUGAGCUGUUCUCUGCACAAGCUGUUCUCUGGGAAGAAGGAGAGAGGAGCUGCUGAAGGGAGGCUUGCAUGCGGCUCCUGCUUCAUAUCCACCAGAACAACAGGGAAAGGCAGUAAGGAUGAAUGGAAAGGAGGUGGCUGAAGGCCGUCCUAGGGUUACAGCAGAGCAGGCGACUCUGCUACUGCAGAACCACACGACAGUGUGUCCUCUGCCAAGUCCCUUCUCCCAGAGGCUUUGUCUCCUCACCUGAAAGAUGAGGAGCAUGAAGAUUAAAGGGAAGGAGGCUGCCUUCCUGGAAGAGAAUUGCCGGGUUCACAGCACCUGCUCCCUUGCAACCUAGGGCUGCAUCUGCAGAGAUGGGACACAGGGACAACAUGCCUGUCCAUAGCUGGUGCUGCAAGGAUCUCCCCUCUCUCUAUUCCUGCCCACACAGGAUUAUGUAUGAGGCAGAGAUGGGUUCUCAGUGCUGCUGUGAGAUUUGAGCACCUGCUGGGUACAGAACUGAUAGUGGGCGAUGGCUGGUGGCAGACAAGGGACCUGGGGACACAGAAUGUGUCUGUGUUAAUUUGGGAGAGCCUUCUGGUCUUGCUUUCAUUAGCCUGGGCAGUCCAGAAGAGAAAGAAACACAUUUUAAAGGAAAAACAGAUUUAGCGAACAUUUACAGUAAAAACUGUCUGGAAAACGAA